AGCUGAGGUUGCGGCAUACAUCAGUAUCUUCGCAAAAUGCGGCGGACAGCCGUGCGGAGAGAAAGGGUCUGCCGCCGAAGUGCGUCCGCGUCUGUCCGGCGCUGUCGUGCUGGGUCUAUGCAGAAGAUGCAUAGGACUGUCAUUCCUUU
This 149-nucleotide non-coding RNA is filed under the name uncultured Faecousia sp. Its description in RNAcentral is "Lysine riboswitch". It matches the Rfam family "Lysine riboswitch aptamer", at positions 11 to 155 of the family's 182-position model. Rfam says of the family: Riboswitches are metabolite binding domains within certain messenger RNAs that serve as precision sensors for their corresponding targets. Allosteric rearrangement of mRNA structure is mediated by ligand binding, and this results in modulation of gene expression. The record is from RNAcentral. Lineage: Bacteria; Bacillati; Bacillota; Clostridia; Eubacteriales; Oscillospiraceae.